CAGGUGGUCAGGUAGAGAAUACCAAGGCGCUUGAGAGAACUCGGGUGAAGGAACUAGGCAAAAUGGUGCCGUAACUUCGGGAGAAGGCACGCUGACACGUAGGUGAAGUGAUUUACUCAUGGAGCUGAAGUCAGUCGAAGAUACCAGCUGGCUGCAACUGUUUAUUAAAAACACAGCACUGUGCAAACACGAAAGUGGACGUAUACGGUGUGACGCCUGCCCGGUGCCGGAAGGUUAAUUGAUGGGGUCAGCGCAAGCGAAGCUCCUGAUCGAAGCCCCGGUAAACGGCGGCCGUAACUAUAACGGUCCUAAGGUAGCGAAAUUCCUUGUCGGGUAAGUUCCGACCUGCACGAAUGGCGUAAUGAUGGCCAGGCUGUCUCCACCCGAGACUCAGUGAAAUUGAACUCGCUGUGAAGAUGCAGUGUACCCGCGGCAAGACGGAAAGACCCCGUGAACCUUUACUAUAGCUUGACACUGAACAUUGAGCCUUGAUGUGUAGGAUAGGUGGGAGGCUUUGAAGUGUGGACGCCAGUCUGCAUGGAGCCGACCUUGAAAUACCACCCUUUAAUGUUUGAUGUUCUAACGUGGACCCGUAAUCCGGGUUGCGGACAGUGUCUGGUGGGUAGUUUGACUGGGGCGGUCUCCUCCUAAAGAGUAACGGAGGAGCACGAAGGUUGGCUAAUCCUGGUCGGACAUCAGGAGGUUAGUGCAAUGGCAUAAGCCAGCUUGACUGCGAGCGUGACGGCGCGAGCAGGUGCGAAAGCAGGUCAUAGUGAUCCGGUGGUUCUGAAUGGAAGGGCCAUCGCUCAACGGAUAAAAGGUACUCCGGGGAUAACAGGCUGAUACCGCCCAAGAGUUCAUAUCGACGGCGGUGUUUGGCACCUCGAUGUCGGCUCAUCACAUCCUGGGGCUGAAGUAGGUCCCAAGGGUAUGGCUGUUCGCCAUUUAAAGUGGUACGCGAGCUGGGUUUAGAACGUCGUGAGACAGUUCGGUCCCUAUCUGCCGUGGGCGCUGGAGAACUGAGGGGGGCUGCUCCUAGUACGAGAGGACCGGAGUGGACGCAUCACUGGUGUUCGGGUUGUCAUGCCAAUGGCACUGCCCGGUAGCUAAAUGCGGAAGAGAUAAGUGCUGAAAGCAUCUAAGCACGAAACUUGCCCCGAGAUGAGUUCUCCCUGAGACUUAGAGUCUCCUGAAGGAACGUUGAAGACGACGACGUUGAUAGGCCGGGUGUGUAAGCGCAGCGAUGCGUUGAGCUAACCGGUACUAAUGAACCGUGAGGCUUAACCUUACAACGCCGAAG
Molecule: ribosomal RNA, 1300 nt
Filed under: Salmonella enterica
Lineage: Bacteria; Pseudomonadati; Pseudomonadota; Gammaproteobacteria; Enterobacterales; Enterobacteriaceae
Also listed under: 2 other names
Description: bacterial LSU rRNA
Rfam family: Bacterial large subunit ribosomal RNA
Source: RNAcentral